AUUGAACGCUGGCGGCAUGCCUUACACAUGCAAGUCGAACGGUAACAGGUCUUCGGAUGCUGACGAGUGGCGAACGGGUGAGUAAUACAUCGGAACGUGCCUAGUAGUGGGGGAUAACUACUCGAAAGAGUGGCUAAUACCGCAUGAGAUCUACGGAUGAAAGCAGGGGAUCGCAAGACCUUGUGCUACUAGAGCGGCCGAUGGCAGAUUAGGAAGUUGGUGGGAUAAAAGCUUACCAAGCCGACGAUCUGUAGCUGGUCUGAGAGGACGAUCAGCCACACUGGGACUGAGACACGGCCCAGACUCCUACGGGAGGCAGCAGUGGGGAAUCUUGGACAAUGGGCGAAAGCCUGAUCCAGCAAUGCCGCGUGCAGGAUGAAGGCCUUCGGGUUGUAAACUGCUUUUGUACGGAACGAAAAGCCCUGGGUUAAUACCCUGGGGUCAUGACGGUACCGUAAGAAUAAGCACCGGCUAACUACGUGCCAGCCGCCGCCGUAA
RNAcentral lists this ribosomal RNA (498 nucleotides) under uncultured bacterium. RNAcentral describes it as "partial 16S ribosomal RNA". It matches the Rfam family "Bacterial small subunit ribosomal RNA", at positions 30 to 523 of the family's 1533-position model. The record is from RNAcentral.